CCGGCGCACGGGUGAGUAACGCGUAUGCGACCUGCCCGUUGCAGGGGGAUAAUCGGGAGAAAUCCCGUCUAAUACCGCGUAACGCCGCGGGGCUGCAUGGCCCUGCGGCCAAAGGGAGCGAUUCCGGCAACGGAUGGGCAUGCGUGACAUUAGCUAGUUGGCGGGGCAACGGCCCACCAAGGCGACGAUGUCUAGGGGUUCUGGGAGGAAGGUCCCCCACACUGGUACUGAGACACGGACCAGACUCCUACGGGAGGCAGCAG
This 263-nucleotide ribosomal RNA is filed under the name uncultured bacterium. RNAcentral describes it as "partial 16S ribosomal RNA". It matches the Rfam family "Bacterial small subunit ribosomal RNA", at positions 95 to 354 of the family's 1533-position model. The record is from RNAcentral.